This 243-nucleotide ribosomal RNA is filed under the name uncultured bacterium. RNAcentral's name for it is "partial 16S ribosomal RNA". It matches the Rfam family "Bacterial small subunit ribosomal RNA", at positions 529 to 771 of the family's 1533-position model. The record is from RNAcentral.
AGGUGGCAAGCGUUGUCCGGAUUUAUUGGGCGUAAAGCGAGCGCAGGCGGAAAGAUAAGUCUGAUGUGAAAGCCCCCGGCUUAACCGAGGAAUUGCAUCGGAAACUGUGUUUCUUGAGUGCAGAAGAGGAGAGUGGAACUCCAUGUGUAGCGGUGGAAUGCGUAGAUAUAUGGAAGAACACCAGUGGCGAAGGCUGCUCUCUGGUCUGUAGCUGACGCUGAGGCUCGAAAGCAUGGGGAGCGA